GCCCGGGUGGCGGAACUGGCAGACGCACGGGACUUAAAAUCCCGAGGCCGCAAGGCCAUGAGAGUUCGAUCCUCUCCCCGGGCACCA
RNAcentral lists this transfer RNA (87 nucleotides) under Deltaproteobacteria bacterium. RNAcentral's name for it is "tRNA-Leu". It matches the Rfam family "tRNA". Rfam says of the family: Transfer RNA (tRNA) molecules are approximately 80 nucleotides in length. The record is from RNAcentral. Lineage: Bacteria; Pseudomonadati; Myxococcota; Myxococcia.